Small nucleolar RNA from Jaculus jaculus (lesser Egyptian jerboa), 130 nucleotides. NCBI's taxonomy places the organism in Eukaryota, Metazoa, Chordata, Mammalia, Rodentia, Dipodidae. The record is from Ensembl.
GAGCCAGCCAAAUAAUCUGCUUAUCAGAAUGUGUUUCUGCAGAAAUUUAGAAAUAGCUAGCAAUAGUGAUGCCAUUUUAUGAGCUUUAAGGACAACUGAAUUAUUAUCGUCCCUCAAAAUGGCUACAAUA